ACGCUGGCGGCGUGCCUAAUACAUGCAAGUCGAACGAACUCUGGUAUUGAUUGGUGCUUGCAUCAUGAUUUACAUUUGAGUGAGUGGCGAACUGGUGAGUAACACGUGGGAAACCUGCCCAGAAGCGGGGGAUAACACCUGGAAACAGAUGCUAAUACCGCAUAACAACUUGGACCGCAUGGUCCGAGUUUGAAAGAUGGCUUCGGCUAUCACUUUUGGAUGGUCCCGCGGCGUAUUAGCUAGAUGGUGGGGUAACGGCUCACCAUGGCAAUGAUACGUAGCCGACCUGAGAGGGUAAUCGGCCACAUUGGGACUGAGACACGGCCCAAACUCCUACGGGAGGCAGCAGUAGGGAAUCUUCCACAAUGGACGAAAGUCUGAUGGAGCAACGCCGCGUGAGUGAAGAAGGGUUUCGGCUCGUAAAACUCUGUUGUUAAAGAAGAACAUAUCUGAGAGUAACUGUUCAGGUAUUGACGGUAUUUAACCAGAAAGCCACGGCUAACUACGUGCCAGCAGCCGCGGUAAUACGUAGGUGGCAAGCGUUGUCCGGAUUUAUUGGGCGUAAAGCGAGCGCAGGCGGUUUUUUAAGUCUGAUGUGAAAGCCUUCGGCUCAACCGAAGAAGUGCAUCGGAAACUGGGAAACUUGAGUGCAGAAGAGGACAGUGGAACUCCAUGUGUAGCGGUGAAAUGCGUAGAUAUAUGGAAGAACACCAGUGGCGAAGGCGGCUGUCUGGUCUGUAACUGACGCUGAGGCUCGAAAGUAUGGGUAGCAAACAGGAUUAGAUACCCUGGUAGUCCAUACCGUAAACGAUGAAUGCUAAGUGUUGGAGGGUUUCCGCCCUUCAGUGCUGCAGCUAACGCAUUAAGCAUUCCGCCUGGGGAGUACGGCCGCAAGGCUGAAACUCAAAGGAAUUGACGGGGGCCCGCACAAGCGGUGGAGCAUGUGGUUUAAUUCGAAGCUACGCGAAGAACCUUACCAGGUCUUGACAUACUAUGCAAAUCUAAGAGAUUAGACGUUCCCUUCGGGGACAUGGAUACAGGUGGUGCAUGGUUGUCGUCAGCUCGUGUCGUGAGAUGUUGGGUUAAGUCCCGCAACGAGCGCAACCCUUAUUAUCAGUUGCCAGCAUUAAGUUGGGCACUCUGGUGAGACUGCCGGUGACAAACCGGAGGAAGGUGGGGAUGACGUCAAAUCAUCAUGCCCCUUAUGACCUGGGCUACACACGUGCUACAAUGGAUGGUACAACGAGUUGCGAACUCGCGAGAGUAAGCUAAUCUCUUAAAGCCAUUCUCAGUUCGGAUUGUAGGCUGCAACUCGCCUACAUGAAGUCGGAAUCGCUAGUAAUCGCGGAUCAGCAUGCCGCGGUGAAUACGUUCCCGGGCCUUGUACACACCGCCCGUCACACCAUGAGAGUUUGUAACACCCAAAGUCGGUGGGGUAACCUUUUAGGAACCAGCCGCCUAAGGUGGGACAGAUGAUUAGGGUGAAGUC
RNAcentral lists this ribosomal RNA (1489 nucleotides) under Lactiplantibacillus plantarum. RNAcentral's name for it is "bacterial SSU rRNA". It matches the Rfam family "Bacterial small subunit ribosomal RNA". The record is from RNAcentral. Lineage: Bacteria; Bacillati; Bacillota; Bacilli; Lactobacillales; Lactobacillaceae.